This 71-nucleotide transfer RNA is filed under the name Stegodyphus mimosarum. It matches the Rfam family "tRNA". Rfam says of the family: Transfer RNA (tRNA) molecules are approximately 80 nucleotides in length. Their secondary structure includes four short double-helical elements and three loops (D, anti-codon, and T loops). The record is from Rfam by way of RNAcentral. Lineage: Eukaryota; Metazoa; Arthropoda; Arachnida; Araneae; Eresidae.
GCCUUCGUAGUGUAACGGUAGCACACUCAGCACGUAUUCGAGAGGUCCAGGUUCGAGUCCCGGGGAGGGUA